GAUCAUUCCCCAGCUUGUCACUGUGACGGUCUUGUCGAGGUGAUUGGACUUCAGGGAGUAAUGCACCUGGGUCAAAUUCAAAGUGGAAUCAGGACUGGUAUUCGGCUAGCACAGGGAGCCCAGAUCAACAUCAAAUUAAAAUCAGAGAUGCCCGUACAAAUAGAUGGUGAACCUUGGAUGCAGCCUCCUGGUAAUGUGAUUGUACGGCCCAUACCAACACAGGCGCUGAUGCUAUCGAAGAGGAAGGUUAAAGUUAAAAA
Pocillopora verrucosa is the source of this 260-nucleotide non-coding RNA. The record is from RefSeq and is a predicted model, not a curated record. Lineage: Eukaryota; Metazoa; Cnidaria; Anthozoa; Scleractinia; Pocilloporidae.